UUGUCAAGUAGGAUAAUCCCUACAUGUUCCUCCUUUUGGAGGGCAGAUUGGAACAUGAUGACGGGAGCUAGCAGGACUGGUGUUCAGUGUCUCUGUACAGUUAGGACUCUGAU
This is a small nucleolar RNA of Phyllostomus discolor (pale spear-nosed bat), 113 nucleotides long. RefSeq annotates it as U8 small nucleolar RNA. Lineage: Eukaryota; Metazoa; Chordata; Mammalia; Chiroptera; Phyllostomidae. The transcript has a single exon. The record is from RefSeq and is a predicted model, not a curated record.